GACGAACGCUGGCGGCGUGCUUAACACAUGCAAGUCGAACGGAAAGGCCCUGCUUUUGUGGGGUGCUCGAGUGGCGAACGGGUGAGUAACACGUGAGUAACCUGCCCUUGACUUUGGGAUAACUUCAGGAAACUGGGGCUAAUACCGGGUAUGAUCUCCUGCUGCAUGGUGGGGGUUGGAAAGUUUCGGCGGUGGGGGAUGGACUCGAGGGUUAUCAGCUAGUUGGGGGGGUAGUGGCUUACCAGGCGUUUGACGGGUAGGCGGCGUGAGAGGGUGACCAGGUACCUUAGGCCUACGAUACGGACCAGUAUCCAACGGGACGCAGUGGUGGGGAACCUUGCGCAGCGGCGGGGCGCCAGAUACGACAGUGCCGCGUGCGGAAUACCCUCUUUCGGGUUGAGAACCGAUUUCUAAUGUACCGAGCACUGCGUGACGGUAACGGGUCAAAAAGCCACGGCUAACUACGUG
This 468-nucleotide ribosomal RNA is filed under the name uncultured bacterium. RNAcentral describes it as "partial 16S ribosomal RNA". It matches the Rfam family "Bacterial small subunit ribosomal RNA", at positions 28 to 507 of the family's 1533-position model. The record is from RNAcentral.